RNAcentral lists this unclassified non-coding RNA (2199 nucleotides) under Hevea brasiliensis (rubber tree). Lineage: Eukaryota; Viridiplantae; Streptophyta; Magnoliopsida; Malpighiales; Euphorbiaceae. The record is from RNAcentral.
CCUCUCAAAGAACACAACACUUAAUAAAAAUGAAUAAUCCACCAUUAUUAUAGCAAAUUCUAAAUCAGAUUUAAUACUUUAUUGUGUUGGCAACUUUGAAACCGAAAUUUAAUCCGGUUUACUAACAACUAUUACAACAGUAAUGAAAAUAACAAUAAUAAUUAUUAGAAAACUAUUGGCCUUGUGGAGCAAGGUGUUUCUGCAUUUACUUCCUAGUAAUUAACAGCCAAAAACUGGAUUAAGCAACCUUCGAAGAAAUGAACACCUACAGUAUAUAAAUGCAAAAACAUCAUCAAUUUUAGGCCCACAUUUCUGGAAAUAUCCAUCACAUUAUUCUAACUCUUUUUCCACAUCCCAACACACAAACAACCUUUCCAUAUUCUAAUGCUCCAAAACCACUCUAUAUUCUCACACUGUUCUUCAAAGCUACCAUAAUCUUCUAGCCUUUCAUCUGGAGGGAGAACAAAGAUGUCAAUUCGACAACCCUGGAACAAAUGCAUCAAUUUUCAGCCCCUUGUCCCAUGUCUGAUCCUUUGUUCAGCUUACCAUUCACUAUUAUUCUAUAUAGAAAGAAUGCAACCACUGCACCACUGCAAAGGAAAGCUAGGUAUCAGAUACCCAAACUAACAUAUUUUAAAACAAGCCAUUGUGAACAUGUAAUUGCAAUAACAUUAUGAUUCUAUUUGGCAAACAUACACAAACACACGCAUGCACACUGAAUAAGUCAAAAUUUAUUGAUCACAAAAUUGAAUAAAUAUGAAUGAGUUCUAUUUAUUAGAGAAUAAAAAAUCCAUCACAAAAACAAUUUCUGCAACCCCAACUUUAUGUUGGAUGCCCGAUGAGUGCAAAUUCUAGAUCAUCUUCCUCUUACAACCCUGAUCUAAAACCUCCCGCACCUUAAGUCCUCGUCAAACCCUAUAACCAGACAAGGUAUAGCUAUUUUUAAUUCAUACUUCAUCCUACUUCUAUAAGCCACACUUUCCAUCAGCAAUCCAAACACCAAACAAGAGUUUCGCUGUUUGAAGGUAGUAAAUUGAAUACAAGAAUACAAAAGUUAAGAAACAUGAGAACAUUAUGAACCUGAUGACGGUUGAGAAUAAGGUCAAAAAAGAAGCUUUCUGCCAAGAAGGAAAGAAAGAAACAGAGGUUAAAAGAAACUACUGUGCCACAAAUAUAUCAAGUACCAAAGGAAACAAAUAAUAGAAUUAAUUAUGAAGAAAUCUUACCCGAGACAGCAACAGUAACUCCCUAAGAAAGAUUAUAGCUGUUAUUCCUGUAGACAAAAGAAAACAGUAACAGAACUUUUAGUCAAAUCUAUAAUAAAAGAAAUAAACAUAAAUGAGAUAGAGAGAUCACUGAAACAAAUAAAAAUAUAAUACCAAGCCAAGCUUAAUUUUAGUUCAAACUAGAAAACAUGAUAAUCAGUCUCAGAUCCAAGCGUAAAAUUACCUAACUGUAGAUGAUAAUACACAUACUCUGGUAAUCAUGUAAUGAUCCUAAAUAAUAGCUAUUCUUCCAUGUGCGAAAAGGAGUUCCAAGGGACGCAGAUAAUCACAAAAGAGACAAAUAUAGUUGCCCUACCUCCAUAACACCAGAAACUUGUAAGAGAUUCGUAAUGCAAAUAAAUACACAAAAGACCUAAAAACCUACAUAGAAAAACCUAAUUAUGAGACAAUUACUACAGCUAUGCAUAAACACAUUGCAUCCUUUUAAAUUCAUGACUUAAUGCUGGACAUCCUGUAUUGCGAAGCUGUGAAGGGAUAUAAACAUCUAAUUCUAUUUUUAGGGCCAUUCUAAGCAUUAGUCAGAAUUUUCAUUGGCGCUUCAGGCAUUUUUUUCAACUGACAGAACAUGUUAAUAACAUUAACCACCUUUUAACUUAAGACAUGUAUAAUCAAAUGGCAAAUGCAAGGCAUUCAAAAACCUAUCACAAAAUAUAUGACAGAUGAUCAAACAAAACUAGUCUAUCCAAGCAGAAACAGUUUAGAAGCCAGUCAUCAGUCAUCAAAAACGCAAAUAAUAGCCCAAAUGUUUUCUCCUUCAUGUCUUAAAAUAGAAACAAGCCAUUUUCUAACCUGCCUCUCCUUUCAAGAUUGAAGUAGGUGGUUGCACUUCUUUUUUGUAUGAUUUUAAACUCAAUACACUUAAAGCCAAAAGAGCACCACCAAGAAUGAUACCAAACCUAACAGCAGAAAUGCU